RNAcentral lists this ribosomal RNA (3004 nucleotides) under Salmonella enterica. RNAcentral's name for it is "bacterial LSU rRNA". It matches the Rfam family "Bacterial large subunit ribosomal RNA". Lineage: Bacteria; Pseudomonadati; Pseudomonadota; Gammaproteobacteria; Enterobacterales; Enterobacteriaceae. The record is from RNAcentral.
UUAAGCGACUAAGCGUACACGGUGGAUGCCCUGGCAGUCAGAGGCGAUGAAGGGCGUGCUAAUCUGCGAUAAGCGCCGGUAAGGUGAUAUGAACCGUUAUAACCGGCGAUACCCGAAUGGGGAAACCCAGUGUGAUUCGUCACACUAUCAUUAACUGAAUCCAUAGGUUAAUGAGGCGAACCGGGGGAACUGAAACAUCUAAGUACCCCGAGGAAAAGAAAUCAACCGAGAUUCCCCCAGUAGCGGCGAGCGAACGGGGAGGAGCCCAGAGCCUGAAUCAGCAUGUGUGUUAGUGGAAGCGUCUGGAAAGGCGCGCGAUACAGGGUGACAGCCCCGUACACAAAAGCGCAUGUGCUGUGAGCUCGAUGAGUAGGGCGGGACACGUGGUAUCCUGUCUGAAUAUGGGGGGACCAUCCUCCAAGGCUAAAUACUCCUGACUGACCGAUAGUGAACCAGUACCGUGAGGGAAAGGCGAAAAGAACCCCGGCGAGGGGAGUGAAAAAGAACCUGAAACCGUGUACGUACAAGCAGUGGGAGCCCCACCACUAAGCCAGUGGUGAACUCCACAUACGCAUCCUUUGCUGAGGAUACGGUUAACGGAGCGCAAGCGACGUUCAACCGCAAAAGAAGCAGAGGGGGCUUAGUGGUGGGGUGACUGCGUACCUUUUGUAUAAUGGGUCAGCGACUUAUAUUCUGUAGCAAGGUUAACCGUAUAGGGGAGCCGGAGGGAAACCGAGUCUUAACCGGGCGUUAAGUUGCAGGGUAUAGACCCGAAACCCGGUGAUCUAGCCAUGGGCAGGUUGAAGGUUGGGUAACACUAACUGGAGGACCGAACCGACUAAUGUUGAAAAAUUAGCGGAUGACCUGUGGCUGGGGGUGAAAGGCCAAUCAAACCGGGAGAUAGCUGGUUCUCCCCGAAAGCUAUUUAGGUAGCGCCUCGUGAAUUCAUCUCCGGGGGUAGAGCACUGUUUCGGCUAGGGGGCCAUCCCGGCUUACCAACCCGAUGCAAACUGCGAAUACCGGAGAAUGUUAUCACGGGAGACACACGGCGGGUGCUAACGUCCGUCGUGAAGAGGGAAACAACCCAGACCGCCAGCUAAGGUCCCAAAGUCAUGGUUAAGUGGGAAACGAUGUGGGAAGGCCCAGACAGCCAGGAUGUUGGCUUAGAAGCAGCCAUCAUUUAAAGAAAGCGUAAUAGCUCACUGGUCGAGUCGGCCUGCGCGGAAGAUGUAACGGGGCUAAACCAUGCACCGAAGCUGCGGCAGCGACACUAUGUGUUGUUGGGUAGGGGAGCGUUCUGUAAGCCUGCGAAGGUGACCUGUGAGGGUUGCUGGAGGUAUCAGAAGUGCGAAUGCUGACAUAAGUAACGAUAAAGCGGGUGAAAAGCCCGCUCGCCGGAAGACCAAGGGUUCCUGUCCAACGUUAAUCGGGGCAGGGUGAGUCGACCCCUAAGGCGAGGCCGAAAGGCGUAGUCGAUGGGAAACGGGUUAAUAUUCCCGUACUUGGUGUUACUGCGAAGGGGGGACGGAGAAGGCUAUGUUGGCCGGGCGACGGUUGUCCCGGUUUAAGCGUGUAGGUGUGUGUUCCAGGUAAAUCCGGUUCACUUUAACACUGAGGCGUGAUGACGAGGCACUACGGUGCUGAAGCAACAAAUGCCCUGCUUCCAGGAAAAGCCUCUAAGCAUCAGGUAACAUCAAAUCGUACCCCAAACCGACACAGGUGGUCAGGUAGAGAAUACCAAGGCGCUUGAGAGAACUCGGGUGAAGGAACUAGGCAAAAUGGUGCCGUAACUUCGGGAGAAGGCACGCUGACAUGUAGGUGAAGUGAUUUACUCAUGGAGCUGAAGUCAGUCGAAGAUACCAGCUGGCUGCAACUGUUUAUUAAAAACACAGCACUGUGCAAACACGAAAGUGGACGUAUACGGUGUGACGCCUGCCCGGUGCCGGAAGGUUAAUUGAUGGGGUCAGCGCAAGCGAAGCUCCUGAUCGAAGCCCCGGUAAACGGCGGCCGUAACUAUAACGGUCCUAAGGUAGCGAAAUUCCUUGUCGGGUAAGUUCCGACCUGCACGAAUGGCGUAAUGAUGGCCAGGCUGUCUCCACCCGAGACUCAGUGAAAUUGAACUCGCUGUGAAGAUGCAGUGUACCCGCGGCAAGACGGAAAGACCCCGUGAACCUUUACUAUAGCUUGACACUGAACAUUGAGCCUUGAUGUGUAGGAUAGGUGGGAGGCUUUGAAGUGUGGACGCCAGUCUGCAUGGAGCCGGCCUUGAAAUACCACCCUUUAAUGUUUGAUGUUCUAACGUGGACCCGUGAUCCGGGUUGCGGACAGUGUCUGGUGGGUAGUUUGACUGGGGCGGUCUCCUCCUAAAGAGUAACGGAGGAGCACGAAGGUUGGCUAAUCCUGGUCGGACAUCAGGAGGUUAGUGCAAUGGCAUAAGCCAGCUUGACUGCGAGCGUGACGGCGCGAGCAGGUGCGAAAGCAGGUCAUAGUGAUCCGGUGGUUCUGAAUGGAAGGGCCAUCGCUCAACGGAUAAAAGGUACUCCGGGGAUAACAGGCUGAUACCGCCCAAGAGUUCAUAUCGACGGCGGUGUUUGGCACCUCGAUGUCGGCUCAUCACAUCCUGGGGCUGAAGUAGGUCCCAAGGGUAUGGCUGUUCGCCAUUUAAAGUGGUACGCGAGCUGGGUUUAGAACGUCGUGAGACAGUUCGGUCCCUAUCUGCCGUGGGCGCUGGAGAACUGAGGGGGGCUGCUCCUAGUACGAGAGGACCGGAGUGGACGCAUCACUGGUGUUCGGGUUGUCAUGCCAAUGGCACUGCCCGGUAGCUAAAUGCGGAAGAGAUAAGUGCUGAAAGCAUCUAAGCACGAAACUUGCCCCGAGAUGAGUUCUCCCUGAGACUUAGAGUCUCCUGAAGGAACGUUGAAGACGACGACGUUGAUAGGCCGGGUGUGUAAGCGCAGCGAUGCGUUGAGCUAACCGGUACUAAUGAACCGUGAGGCUUAACCUU